GUUCAGAGGACGGAUCAGCAGGGCUCCGUGUGGUAAACCAGGCCAAUUGGCAAAAUAGGCACAUGGAGGCAGCAGCUGUACGGCAGUGGACGGGGUCGUAAAAGCGAGGGCCGAAAGAGGAAGUAAGGGGGACCUUCUGAGUUAUUACCCUCCAACGUACACACGGGGGCCUGGGAACUGUCCUCUUCUCACAGAGGACCACGGUGCAGCGUGGAGCAGGGCUGUUCUCCGGGCCUGCUUCCCCCAUCACCCUCUGUGUACUUUACCACCCCAUCACAAGUCCACAGCCGUCAUAAUGAGACAUGAGAGUAUACAGUAUGGACAACAAGACACCGUUUGCUCCAUAAUAAAACCAUUUGCUUACCAUUGCUUUACAACAGAUUUGUUCCCACCAUG
RNAcentral lists this long non-coding RNA (396 nucleotides) under Salmo salar (Atlantic salmon). RNAcentral's name for it is "lncRNA (ENSSSAG00000089148.1)". The record is from RNAcentral. Lineage: Eukaryota; Metazoa; Chordata; Actinopteri; Salmoniformes; Salmonidae.